Molecule: transfer RNA, 90 nt
Filed under: Kineosporia sp. NBRC 101677
Lineage: Bacteria; Bacillati; Actinomycetota; Actinomycetes; Kineosporiales; Kineosporiaceae
Description: tRNA-Val
Source: RNAcentral
UUCCCGGUGGCCGGCACGGCCGGGCUGUUCACCCCGGCCAGGAAGUUCACCGCCGUGGAGAAGGUCUCGUUCGAGCUCCAGGCCGGGCAG